RNAcentral lists this ribosomal RNA (492 nucleotides) under uncultured bacterium. RNAcentral describes it as "partial 16S ribosomal RNA". It matches the Rfam family "Bacterial small subunit ribosomal RNA", at positions 29 to 507 of the family's 1533-position model. The record is from RNAcentral.
AGUGAACGCUGGCGGUAGGCCUAACACAUGCAAGUCGAACGGCAGCACAGUAAGAGCUUGCUCUUACGGGUGGCGAGUGGCGGACGGGUGAGGAAUACAUCGGAAUCUACUUUUUCGUGGGGGAUAACGCAGGGAAACUUACGCUAAUACCGCAUACGACCUACGGGUGAAAGCAGGGGAUCUUCGGACCUUGCGCGAUUGAAUGAGCCGAUGUCGGAUUAGCUAGUUGGCGGGGUAAAGGCGCACCAAGGCGACGAUCCGUAGCUGGUCUGAGAGGAUGAUCAGCCACACGGGAACUGAGACACGGUCCAGACUCCGACGGGAGGCAGCAGUGGGGAAUAUUGGACAAUGGGCGAAAGCCUGAUCCAGCCAUACCGCGUGGGUGAAGAAGGCCUUCGGGUUGUAAAGCCCUUUUGUUGGGAAAGAAAAGCAGCAGGUUAAUACCCCGCUGUUCUGACGGUACCCAAAGAAUAAGCGCCGGCUAACUUCGUG